GUGAGGAAUUUUCCGCAAUGGGCGAAAGCCUGACGGAGCAAUGCCGCGUGAAGGAUGAAGGCCUAUGGGUUGUAAACUUCUUUUUUUAGAGAAGAAUAUUGACGGUAUCUGAGGAAUAAGCAUCGGCUAACUCUGUGCCAGCAGCCGCGGUAAGACAGAGGAUGCAAGCGUUAUCCGGAAUGAUUGGGCGUAAAGCGUCUGUAGGUGGCUUCAAAAGUCUCCUGUCAAAGAUCAGGGCUUAACCCUGGGCCGGCAGGAGAAACUCUGAGGCUAGAGUUUGGUAGGGGCAGAGGGAAUUCCCGGUGGAGCGGUGAAAUGCGUAGAGAUCGGGAGGAACACCAAAGGCGAAAGCACUCUGCUGGGCCACAACUGACACUGAGAGACGAAAGCGAGGGGAGCAAAAGGGAUUAGAAACCCCAGUAGUCC
RNAcentral lists this ribosomal RNA (426 nucleotides) under uncultured bacterium. Its description in RNAcentral is "partial 16S ribosomal RNA". It matches the Rfam family "Bacterial small subunit ribosomal RNA", at positions 354 to 796 of the family's 1533-position model. The record is from RNAcentral.